CAGUCGCCGCGGGAAUACAGAGGGUGCGAGCGUUAAUCGGAUUUACUGGGCGUAAAGCGUGCGUAGGCGGCUAAUUGAGUCGGAUGUGAAAUCCCCGAGCUUAACUUGGGAAUCGCAUUCGAUACUGGUUAGCUAGAGUGUGGGAGAGGAUGGUAGAAUUCCAGGUGUAGCGGUGAAAUGCGUAGAGAUCUGGAGGAAUACCGAUGGCGAAGGCAGCCAUCUGGCCUAACACUGACGCUGAGGUACGAAAGCAUGGGGAGCAAACAGGAUUAGAUACCCCCGUAGUCCCUGUCUCUUAUAC
RNAcentral lists this ribosomal RNA (301 nucleotides) under uncultured bacterium. RNAcentral describes it as "partial 16S ribosomal RNA". It matches the Rfam family "Bacterial small subunit ribosomal RNA", at positions 509 to 807 of the family's 1533-position model. The record is from RNAcentral.